RNAcentral lists this ribosomal RNA (674 nucleotides) under uncultured Bacteroidota bacterium. Its description in RNAcentral is "bacterial SSU rRNA". It matches the Rfam family "Bacterial small subunit ribosomal RNA", at positions 28 to 689 of the family's 1533-position model. Lineage: Bacteria; Pseudomonadati; Bacteroidota. The record is from RNAcentral.
GAUGAACGCUAGCGGCAGGCUUAAUACAUGCAAGUCGAGGGGCAGCAGGGCGGUAGCAAUACCGUCGCUGGCGACCGGCAAACGGGUGCGGAACACGUACGCAACUUACCCUGAACUGGGGCAUAGCCCGGGGAAACCCGGAUUAAUACCCCGUAACACUAUGAGGUGGCAUCACCUUGUAGUUAGAGCUCCGGCGGUUUGGGAUGGGCGUGCGGCUGAUUAGGUAGUUGGUUGGGGUAACGGCCCACCAAGCCUACGAUCAGUAACUGGUGUGAGAGCACGACCAGUCACACGGGCACUGAGACACGGGCCCGACUCCUACGGGAGGCAGCAGUAAGGAAUAUUGGGCAAUGGAGGCAACUCUGACCCAGCCAUGCCGCGUGGAGGAUGAAGGCCCUCUGGGUUGUAAACUUCUUUUACCUGGGACGAAACCUUCCCAUUCCUGGGGAGUUGACGGUACCAGGGGAAUAAGCACCGGCUAACUCCGUGCCAGCAGCCGCGGUAAUACGGAGGGUGCAAGCGUUAUCCGGAUUUCACUGGGUUUAAAGGGUGCGUAGGCGGGCAGGUAAGUCCGUGGUGAAAUCUCCGAGCUUAACUCGGAAACUGCCAUGGAUACUAUUUUGUCUUGAAUACUGUGAAAGGUGAGCGGAAUAUGUCAUGUAGCGGUGAAAUGC